CGGCCUGCUGGGCUUUAACUGACGCUGAGGCACGAAAGCAUGGGUAGCAAACAGGAUUAGAUACCCUGGUAGUCCAUGCCGUAAACGAUGAUUACUAGGUGUGGGGGGAUUGACCCCUUCCGUGCCGCAGUUAACACAAUAAGUAAUCCACCUGGGGAGUACGGCCGCAAGGUUGAAACUCAAAGGAAUUGACGGGGGCCCGCACAAGCAGUGGAGUAUGUGGUUUAAUUCGAAGCAACGCGAAGAACCUUACCGGGGCUUGACAUCCUGAGAAUCCUACAGAGAUGUGGGAGUGCCCUUCGGGGAAUUCAGAGACAGGUGGUGCAUGGUCGUCGUCAGCUCGUGUCGUGAGAUGUUGGGUUAAGUCCCGCAACGAGCGCAACCCUUGCUUUCAGUUGCUACGCAAGAGCACUCUAAUAGGACUGCCGUUGACAAAACGGAGGAAGGUGGGGACGACGUCAAAUCAUCAUGCCCCUUAUGACCUGGGCUACACACGUACUACAAUGGGCGUUAACAGAGGGAAGCAAAAUAGCGAUAUGGAGCGAACCCCUAAAAACGUUCUCAGUUCAGAUGCAGGCUGCAACCCGCCUGCAUGAAGUC
This 600-nucleotide ribosomal RNA is filed under the name uncultured bacterium. RNAcentral's name for it is "bacterial SSU rRNA". It matches the Rfam family "Bacterial small subunit ribosomal RNA", at positions 722 to 1327 of the family's 1533-position model. The record is from RNAcentral.